Molecule: transfer RNA, 91 nt
Filed under: Brevibacillus borstelensis
Lineage: Bacteria; Bacillati; Bacillota; Bacilli; Caryophanales; Paenibacillaceae
Also listed under: 6 other names
Description: tRNA-Ser(gct)
Rfam family: tRNA
About the family: Transfer RNA (tRNA) molecules are approximately 80 nucleotides in length. Their secondary structure includes four short double-helical elements and three loops (D, anti-codon, and T loops).
Source: RNAcentral
GGAGAGUUACCCAAGAGGCCGAAGGGGACGGUUUGCUAAACCGUUAGUACGCGUAAGCGUAGCGAGGGUUCGAAUCCCUCACUCUCCGCCA